GUUCACUUCACUUAAGAGAACAGCCGAAAGCUUCUUCGAGUUUGUGCUUAUUGUUUUGUGGCUGAGAUAGAAAUGGGAUUCUGCAGUAAAUUGGAUCCAGAAGUUUUUGAAACAAGUAUGGUGGAAGUGAAUAUCUUGUGAAUGACAUGAAUGGCAUGUACAGAGAUGUUGUCAGCAAGGCAAGAGUUAGUAAUAAGUUCAACAAGGAAUUCAACUUGCGAGGUGUCCAUCAGGGUUCAGCACUUAGGCCCUCCUAUUUAUUACUGUUAUCCAAGCCAUGAUAGAAGAGUUUGAGCUUGGUUGACAAGGGUAAGUUCUUUAGGCUAAUGACCUCGUUCUCACGACUGAACCUAUUAACCCUUUUAUUACUAACCUGGCCAAAACCAGCUCAGGCUCUGAGUACAAAUGUCUUGUUUUCAUAAGUUUUGAAUUAAAAUCUUCCACCAAA
Molecule: long non-coding RNA, 448 nt
Organism: Octopus bimaculoides (California two-spot octopus)
Lineage: Eukaryota; Metazoa; Mollusca; Cephalopoda; Octopoda; Octopodidae
Source: RefSeq, a predicted model, not a curated record